AAUCAACGCUGGCGGCGUGCCUCAGACAUGCAAGUCGAACGCGAAAAUCCCCUUCGGGGGAUGAGUAGAGUGGCGCACGGGUGAGUAACACGUAGGUAAUCUACCUUUGGAUGGGGAAUAACCACCGGAAACGGUGGCUAAUACCGCAUAAUGCAGCGGCACCUAAUGGUGACAGUUGUUAAAGCGGGGGAUCGAAAGACCUCGCGUCUGAAGAGGAGCCUGCGGCGGAUUAGCUAAAGUUGGUAAGGUAAUGGCUUACCAAGGCGACGAUCCGUAACCGGCCUGA
Molecule: ribosomal RNA, 286 nt
Filed under: uncultured bacterium
Lineage: Bacteria
Description: partial 16S ribosomal RNA
Rfam family: Bacterial small subunit ribosomal RNA
Source: RNAcentral